AGCACCAGUCGCGCUAAGCUUAGCUUUAGAUCCCACAUGGAUAAGCUGUGGUUUAAAGCACUUUGUCC
Molecule: microRNA precursor, 68 nt
Filed under: Nematostella vectensis (starlet sea anemone)
Lineage: Eukaryota; Metazoa; Cnidaria; Anthozoa; Actiniaria; Edwardsiidae
Description: microRNA nve-mir-9431 precursor
Source: miRBase by way of RNAcentral